AUAUAUAUAUAUAUAUAUAUAUAUAUAUAUAAAAAGUUGUAUAAACUUAAAAGACAUGAUUUAUUAAGUUUUAAUAUUAGCAAAGAAACCAUUGAAUAGAAAAUCAAUAACAUAGAGAAAUAAUAGUUUGUCUAUGAAAUAAAAAUAAUAUAGAAAUGUUUAAGAGGAGUGUUGUAUAUCAAGAACUCAUCACUUGCCAGGUACCCAAUUUUAUGUAGAAAAAUAUAGAAAUGAUGAGGGAAAGUAUAAGGGUCUAGCUACAGGAUUUUUUCUUUGAGUCACUGCUAAACAACUCUUUUAUGCUUCUAUCUGACAAUCUUUUCUUGUCAUGCAAUGUUUAAGCUGGUGUGGAAGUUGUCGGCUCGUAUUGUGUUUGUUGUGAAAAUGACUGUAUCCGGGAAGAUCUCUUUGACGAUAAGUUCAUGUUUGUUAGUUUUUUGGAUUUGGAAUAUAUGGAUUUGUCCUAUUGUUUGCACAAUUUCUUGUGGCAGUGAUUGUUGUCUUAUGUAAGGGUACUUAUUGAUGAGGUCCUUGCAAGUCAUUCCAAAGAGUUGUUCUGCUGGUUUUCCCCUAAACUUUCGUAUGGCCUCAUUGUUGGGGUCUUCAAUGACAAUAUGCAUUAUAUAAUUGUAGAUACACAUAUUGUUGAGAUUAGUAAUUUAAACCUUAUUAUGGCAAAAGCUACAAAUAUCACUGAGUUGUUGUAAUAUAGUCACCUAAAGUUAUAAACUUCAUUGUAAAGAGUAGAACAAAUACAUUUACAAUGAUUUUUUAGUUAGAGAUAGAUGAUUAUUUUAUUGCGAACUACAUAAAGCAAAGGCACCAUCUUGAUUUGCGCCCAAUAUCAACUAUUUUGAAGUUUUAAAUUGUACCAAAUAUUGAGAUAAUAUAGAUGACUAAUUUAACAAUAUGAAAGGUAGCGUGAAAGGUGUGGAUGAAGCAAGCAAAGUGUCACACCCCACCAAUUUUCGAAGGAUAAAUUUCAAAAAUUUGGGCAUGAUAAAACUCAAAUUCUAAAUAUCCCAUAACCUGCUCAACAAUUUCAAAAACUAAAAACAAAUAUUGGAAAUGUAAAUGUCGAUAAACUCAUCAACCGAGUUAAACAUUUAAUCUCCUUAAUUACAACAACUUCCAAAAGUCUAGUAAUAAACUACCUCGCUCACAAAAGCUUAAAAACAACUACCAUAAAAUACAAAUAAAUGUAUUUCGUCAAAACCCAGCUCCUAGGCCACUGCCUCAAACCUUCUAAUCAUCACUUGCAGGUCUAACCCCUACACCAUGAAUUGGUGCACCGGGUUGUAAACAACAAACCCAGUAAGCUAAAAAGCUCGUAUGAGUAACUCCCAAAAUAAUAACCCAACAAUCCCAACAUCACAUAUAAGUAAAACUGGUAAUUCCUGCAUUAGCAACUUAGUUCAGGAAUCGCCUAAAAGCAAGAGAAUUCAAAAGAAACAAUUAAAAAAAACACAAUAAUUUAAAAUCACUCAAAAUCAUAAAUGAAUCCUAUAAAUAAACAUAGUUCAAGAAUUCUAUUAAAAUCACACAAUUAAGAUUUAAGAAUCUCCUACGGAUAAGCAUAGGUCAGGAGAUACUCAAAGCAUGAAAUUUAAACAACAUAUAAGAACAUCAUACAAACAUUUCUCUACUCCUACUUAUGAGUUCGCCAACACUUAGUCAUCUCCCAUAAGUAACCAAACAAAUGCGUACUCAUGGGUUCGUCAACACUUAGUCAUCCCCCAUGAAGUACCGACUGACAGACUAGAGCUCUAUACUGACCGUAACCAAUCACCCGGCCAAGGCUUGGUUCCCGGUCCACCACGAAUGCUCCUAAUCUAAUAAUCACCACUAAGGCACACACAUACACAACUAAUGCACACAAUCACCACUAAGGCACACAUUUCAAUACUCUCCCAUCAUAACACUUAUCAAAUCACAAAAUAAUAAUAUAAUCAUAAUCGUAAUCUAUCACCCGAUUAGAGGCUAGGAACCCGGUUUGACUAUUUAAACAACAAUUCAAAUAUAAAAAUAUCAUCAACAACAUCACAAGAGCACUUCAUAAAUUAUAUCUUUCCACCUAGAUAUAUUUAUAUAAACAAAGACAUAGAUAUUCCCACUAGAAUAAUCUAUCAACAACCAUAUUUCAACAUCACCAUAUCACAUGAUCGAAAGUCCUUUUGAAAGAUUUAUUUUUAACA
This 2195-nucleotide long non-coding RNA is filed under the name Fragaria vesca (wild strawberry). RNAcentral describes it as "long non-coding RNA (FVES_LNC005424)". The record is from RNAcentral. Lineage: Eukaryota; Viridiplantae; Streptophyta; Magnoliopsida; Rosales; Rosaceae.